RNAcentral lists this ribosomal RNA (207 nucleotides) under Aphelochaeta sp. 378 PB. RNAcentral's name for it is "partial 16S ribosomal RNA". The record is from RNAcentral. Lineage: Eukaryota; Metazoa; Annelida; Polychaeta; Terebellida; Cirratulidae.
CCCCCCCUAAGCCUAAGAAUUGGUUGGGGCGACAAAGGACCCCCUACAACGUCCUUCCUUAAAUCGACCUCACGUCUCCAAACGACUCAUUAGACCCCUUGUUAAAGAGGCUUUAGCUACCUUAGGGAUAACAGACUAAUAUCCCCUCAAGAGCCCAAAUCGACAGGGGAGCUUGGCACCUCGAUGUUGGCUUAGGGAACCCAGUUU